RNAcentral lists this small RNA (727 nucleotides) under Pongo abelii (Sumatran orangutan). RNAcentral describes it as "retained intron". The record is from RNAcentral. Lineage: Eukaryota; Metazoa; Chordata; Mammalia; Primates; Hominidae.
CUAUGUAAUACUAUAAGCGUUUUAGUUUUUAAAAUUGUAAUGCUUUCUGUUGCUAAUGUAUUGAUCAAAAACUGAUCAACCUAUGAGUAGUACUUUGAGGUUGUAUGUGUUUGAUUUUGUCUCCUCCUGCAGUGAAUUGAUUUUUCUUAAGCAGAUUGAUUAGAUGGAGCUGCCUUGAUUUACACAUCAGUGAAAGAAGAGAAAAACCUCGACUUGUUGUAUAAGUAUAUUGUUCAUAAAACAUACGGUUUCCACUUCACCACACCUGCCUUAGUUGUGGAAAAGGAUGCCGUUUUUAUACCUGCAGGCUGGGACAAUGAAAAGAAAAUAGCUAUUUUACACGAAAAUUUUACAACCGUGAAGCCGGAAGAUGCAUAUGAAGACUUUAUUGUGAAACCUCCCGUGAGAAAGCUGGUCCACGACAAAGAGUUGGCAGCAGAAGAUGAGCAGGUGUUCCUAAUGAAGCAACAGUCACUCCUUGCCAAGCAACCAGCCACGCCCACGAGAGCUUCUGAAUCUCCUGCAAGAGGACCCUCUGGCUCUCCAAGGACCCAGGGUCGGGGAGGGCCAGCCAGUGUGCCUAGCUCCUCCCCAGGCACGUCAGUAAAAAAGCCGGACCCAAACAUCAAAAAUAAUGCAGCAAGUGAAGGGGUGUUGGCCAGCUUCUUCAACAGUCUGUUGAGUAAAAAGACAGGCUCUCCUGGAAGUCCUGGUGCUGGUGGGGUGC